UUUCUAUUCAGGAUCCCGGUCUGGAAAACUAGAUGGUGUAUGGAUUCAGAGAUGAACAUGACGAACGAUAGAAGGUCGAUUUGGAUUAUUCUUGGUCCAUAACUUUCAAUUAUUCCACUGCCACACAACUGUGCUUGUGCUGGCAGGGAGAGGAGGAGAAGUAAGGCGUUGUGGGCAGGGACUGGCUGUGGGUACAAGAAGGCCAGAUAUGAGAUGGUGGAAAGGAUGCACGCAGGAGAAGAGAACAGACUGCAACGGAAGGCAGUUUGAGAUGUAGUAGUGGACGCCUCUUCCAUGAUAUUCAGCAAUCUGCGUGUUCAGUGAUGCCGCACACGUCCUCUCAUCUCGUCACGAACGGCCUGGAUGUGGCAGCUGCCGUCAACAUCCCAACCGUCACCAGCACGACGUGUUGAAUGACAUUGGCAUCGUCUCACUGGGGCAGCAGCUCAACACCGGCAUUAUUCUGGUAAUGCAAGUCCCGCUCCAUCUCCUCUGUUUGCAGUCAUUGUUCCAAUAUUACUGGAGAUAAAAUCCAUUCUAGCUAUCGUUGCAGAAGAUCAUUUGGUGGUGUUCGAUCCAGACUAAAAAAUUAUUUCAUGUUGUUUUCAGUAAUUAUGAUCAGCUCAGCCGUAAGAUAUAGAGAGAUCAAUCACAUCCGAUCUUCGAUUUAAUGUAAAUUAGGUGAUUUACUGAACCGCGGGUUGCCUGUUUCAUGAACAGUACUGCCAUUUUAAACAAUCUAGGA
Long non-coding RNA from Triticum aestivum (bread wheat), 745 nucleotides. RefSeq lists it as uncharacterized. Lineage: Eukaryota; Viridiplantae; Streptophyta; Magnoliopsida; Poales; Poaceae. The transcript has 3 exons. The record is from RefSeq and is a predicted model, not a curated record.